CCUUCACAAACAGCCAGCACUAAUUUACCAACCAAAUGACGGUCUUUGGAAAACAUAUCCUCUGGCCUCAGGCAAGUCUUCAAGGACUACAGUCCCAGUCAACCUUUCACUGCAACCUCAUGGUAAACCCUGCACUAGUACCAUCGAGCUGCUCCUGAAUUCCUGACUCACAGAAACUGUGAGAGAAUAAAUGUGGUUGUUCUGGGACACUAGGUUUUGAGGUGAAAAAUGAGAAGAUUAAAUAAGCCAUGGGAAGAUUUUUAAAAAAGACAUGAAACUCCAAGGGUAAAAAGUAGUACAUUUCAAAAAUUUGGAGUAAACUUUUAUGUGUACUCAAGGGAGAUGUUCAGAAAGGGUUAUCUUCGAAGAGAUGCUUCAGAAAGGAGAGAGAAUUUGGGGAACCUUUUCCAUGAUUUGAAGAAGACAGUUGUCUGGGCCCUGACAGAAGACCGUGUUCACCGACACUAACACGGAAGUUACUGGAUUAUGAAUGCCACACUGGCUGGGAAAUCCUGGAUGGUGAACCACACGUGUUCCCUGAGUGUGAAUCCUGUACCUGGUUUGACUGUAGUCACCCCUUCUCCAACACUCUCCACGAUGCCGGCUGCCUCAUGGCCUAAAAUCACAGGAAGUGGGGUCACCAUCGUACCACUAACCACGUGGUCAUCUGUGCCACAGAUUCCUACAGACACCAUCUGCAGAGUGAAGAGAUAUUUAGAAAAGAUUAUGAGUCUCAGGAUGUUCAACAUGAUCAAUGCCAAAAUAAAUAUCAGAAUACUUGAAAGUAAAGUACGAAUAGUAGGAGUUCCUGAUUAUCAGGUGCCUAUGAUGUGACAGGCACAUUGUGGCCUGUGCUCGACCAGGAGACUGGUGAGUCCUUGUGAAUUUCUUCCCUGCUCAAGUGCAUAAAGCAGGUGUAUUGCACAGGUAAUGAUGAGCAGUGCGAAGAUGUGACUCCAAAGCCUGGAGAAGGACAGACCAGCAUCCCUGGCAAGAGAUCCAACUGUCUUCUUUUCCGCAGAGGUCCACAAUUUACAUGGACCUGACAAAGAAUAUUGUAACUUGCAGAAAUUAUCUUCAGUUCAAAUCCUUCAUUUUGGGGGUUAAAUAACUUGCCCAAGAUGUCGAGGGAGCGGAAAUACUUGCUGGUCUUGCAGCGGCUGUGGAGCCUGGAAUCCUGCCAAGAAGAGCAUGUGUGAGAAAUCAAAAUGUUUCUUACAUUCCUCCUGUGAAGGGAGUUGGGAAAUAAUCUAAAAAGCCCAAUCCAAAAACAAAGAUGUACCAUCCAGUCUUCUCUGUGAGAGCCAAACUACAAACCAUCUGAAUGUUCCAAAAGUGUUUUGAUGAUGUAUUGAUGUAUUUUAAAUUAUCCUGAAAAUGUUCUUGGCAGAUGCUUAAACGUGUAAUUACUGAGAUGAUGUAGAAAUACCAAGUGUUUAUUAAAACAAUACAGAGUGAUACAAA
Molecule: long non-coding RNA, 1464 nt
Organism: Pongo pygmaeus (Bornean orangutan)
Lineage: Eukaryota; Metazoa; Chordata; Mammalia; Primates; Hominidae
Exons: 9
Source: RefSeq, a predicted model, not a curated record